RNAcentral lists this ribosomal RNA (826 nucleotides) under Bacillus sp. M5-2. RNAcentral's name for it is "bacterial SSU rRNA". It matches the Rfam family "Bacterial small subunit ribosomal RNA", at positions 546 to 1369 of the family's 1533-position model. The record is from RNAcentral. Lineage: Bacteria; Bacillati; Bacillota; Bacilli; Caryophanales; Bacillaceae.
CGGAAUUAUUGGGCGUAAAGGGCUCGCAGGCGGUUUCUUAAGUCUGAUGUGAAAGCCCCCGGCUCAACCGGGGAGGGUCAUUGGAAACUGGGGAACUUGAGUGCAGAAGAGGAGAGUGGAAUUCCACGUGUAGCGGUGAAAUGCGUAGAGAUGUGGAGGAACACCAGUGGCGAAGGCGACUCUCUGGUCUGUAACUGACGCUGAGGAGCGAAARCGYGGSGAGCGAACAGGAUUAGAUACCCUGGUAGUCCACGCCGUAAACGAUGAGUGCUAAGUGUUAGGGGGUUUCCGCCCCUUAGUGCUGCAGCUAACGCAUUAAGCACUCCGCCUGGGGAGUACGGUCGCAAGACUGAAACUCAAAGGAAUUGACGGGGGCCCGCACAAGCGGUGGAGCAUGUGGUUUAAUUCGAAGCAACGCGAAGAACCUUACCAGGUCUUGACAUCCUCUGACAAUCCUAGAGAUAGGACGUCCCCUUCGGGGGCAGAGUGACAGGUGGUGCAUGGUUGUCGUCAGCUCGUGUCGUGAGAUGUUGGGUUAAGUCCCGCAACGAGCGCAACCCUUGAUCUUAGUUGCCAGCAUUCAGUUGGGCACUCUAAGGUGACUGCCGGUGACAAACCGGAGGAAGGGUGGGGGAUGACGUCAAAUCAUCAUGCCCCUUAUGACCUGGGCUACACACGUGCUACAAUGGACAGAACAAAGGGCAGCGAAACCGCGAGGUUAAGCCAAUCCCACAAAUCUGUUCUCAGUUCGGAUCGCAGUCUGCAACUCGACUGCGUGAAGCUGGAAUCGCUAGUAAUCGCGGAUCAGCAUGCCGCGGGUGAAUAC